GGAUGAAUAGCUCCAAUGGUAGAGCACCGGUUUGAAGCGCCGGCUGUACGGGUUCGAAUCCUGUUUCAUCCA
RNAcentral lists this transfer RNA (72 nucleotides) under Citrobacter freundii. RNAcentral describes it as "tRNA-Phe". It matches the Rfam family "tRNA". Rfam says of the family: Transfer RNA (tRNA) molecules are approximately 80 nucleotides in length. Their secondary structure includes four short double-helical elements and three loops (D, anti-codon, and T loops). Lineage: Bacteria; Pseudomonadati; Pseudomonadota; Gammaproteobacteria; Enterobacterales; Enterobacteriaceae. The record is from RNAcentral.